RNAcentral lists this ribosomal RNA (484 nucleotides) under uncultured bacterium. RNAcentral's name for it is "partial 16S ribosomal RNA". It matches the Rfam family "Bacterial small subunit ribosomal RNA", at positions 30 to 507 of the family's 1533-position model. The record is from RNAcentral.
AUUGAACGCCGGCGGCAGGCCUAACACAUGCAGGUCGAGCGGAUGAAGGGAGCUUGCUCCUGGAUUCAGCGGCGGACGGGUGAGUAAUGCCUAGGAAUCUGCCUGGUAGUGGGGGAUAACGUCCGGAAACGGGCGCUAAUACCGCAUACGUCCUGAGGGAGAAAGUGGGGGAUCUUCGGACCUCACGCUAUCAGAUGAGCCUAGGUCGGAUUAGCUAGUUGGUGGGGUAAAGGCCUACCAAGGCGACGAUCCGUAACUGGUCUGAGGGGAUGAUCAGUCACACUGGAACUGAGACACGGUCCAGACUCCUACGGGAGGCAGCAGUGGGGAAUAUUGGACAAUGGGCGAAAGCCUGAUCCAGCCAUGCCGCGUGUGUGAAGAAGGUCUUCGGAUUGUAAAGCACUUUAAGUUGGGAGGAAGGGCAGUAAGUUAAUACCUUGCUGUUUUGACGUUACCAACAGAAUAAGCACCGGCUAACUUCGUG